Molecule: long non-coding RNA, 360 nt
Organism: Pan troglodytes (chimpanzee)
Lineage: Eukaryota; Metazoa; Chordata; Mammalia; Primates; Hominidae
Exons: 3
Source: RefSeq, a predicted model, not a curated record
CAAUCUUUCAGUUCUGCUACAGCCAGCUGGUCAUUCACUACGAGCUCAUUCUCACCAGGGAACAUACUGGCUAGCAGGUCUAACUCAGCAAGCUGGGCCUCCGCCUGCUCUAUCUCAAUCAUUUUUGGACAUGUAUAUAAUAUGCUAAGUCCUAUGCUAAGACCAGCCUGAGCAACAUACUGAGACCAUCUAUACAAAAACAAACACAAAAAAACUCUUAAUAUCUCCCUCUCAUGCCGAGCCAAAGCUGGACUGUGCUGCUGCCAUCUCGGCUCACUGCAACCUCCCCGCCUGAUUCUCCUGCCUCAGCCUGCCGAGUGCCUGCGAUUGCAGGCGCGCGCCGCCACGCCUGACUGGUUU